UAGGGAGACCUACCCAUUUAGAUAUCGAAAGCAAUGAGUAAAUAGAUACUAAACUGGUCUACUCUAGGUCGGUCGCAGACUUGAAGAAAGUCUUUCAAACUAUGAUUGGGUUCAUUUAAGGGCUAUUAGCUCAGGUGGUUAGAGCGCACCCCUGAUAAGGGUGAGGUCCCUGGUUCGAGUCCAGGAUGGCCCACCUGAAAGUAAUUAGUAAUUACUAAUUCGUAAUUCGUAAUUCGUAAUUAAAAAAUUAGGAAUUAUGAAUUACGAAUUACAAAUUAACUUGAUGGGGGUUUAGCUCAGUUGGUAGAGCGCCUGCUUUGCAAGCAGGAUGUCAGCGGUUCGAGUCCGCUAACCUCCACAUUGGAAAAAUUCAGCACCUGAAACUAUGAAAAUAGUACAGAAUGCUGGGUAAAUACCAGCCAGAACCUUGAAAACUGCAUAGUAACGCGAGGCAGUUCAGUAAUCUAGUGCUUUAGCAGCAGAUAACUGAAAUGAAAAAAACCAAUGUAAAGU
This 513-nucleotide transfer RNA is filed under the name Sphaerospermopsis oumiana CHAB508. RNAcentral's name for it is "partial 16S-23S ribosomal RNA intergenic spacer". The stretch from base 286 to 358 matches the Rfam family "tRNA". Lineage: Bacteria; Bacillati; Cyanobacteriota; Cyanophyceae; Nostocales; Aphanizomenonaceae. The record is from RNAcentral.